Molecule: ribosomal RNA, 253 nt
Filed under: uncultured bacterium
Lineage: Bacteria
Description: partial 16S ribosomal RNA
Rfam family: Bacterial small subunit ribosomal RNA
Source: RNAcentral
UACGUAGGGUGCAAGCGUUAAUCGGAAUUACUGGGCGUAAAGCGUGCGCAGGCGGUUGUGCAAGACAGAUGUGAGAUCCCCGGGCUCAACCUGGGAACUGCAUUUGUGACUGCACGGCUGGAGUGCGGCAGAGGGGGAUGGAAUUCCGCGUGUAGCAGUGAAAUGCGUAGAUAUGCGGAGGAACACCGAUGGCGAAGGCAAUCCCCUGGGCCUGCACUGACGCUCAUGCACGAAAGCGUGGGGAGCAAACAGG